UAAUAUCCAAGAAACCUUUGUCUUGAGCUAUUUGAAGACAAUACCUUAGAUAAUCUUGUGUUCUUUCCAUCCUCAUCUUGUACAUGGCCCUCAGUUCCUUCUGCUUUCCCAGCUCACUUUCUAGUUCUACCACCUUAAUUCACAUUUUCAGUUAAAUAUUAAAUUGCUAUUACAACAAAUAUGCUAUAUAUGUUCAACGCAUGUUCAUUCAAGAAUUAUAUAUUAUAUAAAUGAGAAUAUGCGUAUAUGCAUGUUCAUUCAGAAUUAUUAUAGAUGCUUUGAUUCAUGAGUACUCCAAGAAGUACUUGCCAACAUGCAUAUAUAAAUCAUACAUGAUAUAUACACGU
This 347-nucleotide long non-coding RNA is filed under the name Panax ginseng (ginseng). Its description in RNAcentral is "long non-coding RNA (PGIN_LNC014678)". The record is from RNAcentral. Lineage: Eukaryota; Viridiplantae; Streptophyta; Magnoliopsida; Apiales; Araliaceae.